CCGUGCAAUUGGUCAAUAACUCUCAGGGUUCAGUUACCUGAGGGUAGCCGUGCGAUUGGACAUUAAUACUUUUUAGAGGGAAGAGAUGGAGAAUUAUCUCUUCCCUCAGGAAUUCCUUACUGAUGGUUGGCUGAGACCCAGUCCCACUUGCUGGGCAGUUAAUGCCAACUUUGCCUUAGUGUGUGGACUAGGGCUUUUUGUCUUCUUAAACUCCUAUUUCCAGCCUGAUCCGUCCUCACCAUGAGGCAAGAAACACAGGAAGAGCAGGAAGUCACUGGAGAGACUCGGGAAAUGGGAAAGAAUAGAAUGGGUAUUCUCAGGAGAGAGCAGACCACCAUCCAUCCAAGACAAGCCAGACCAGGCAAGGGUUAGAGGGACAUGAGGAUUUCUCCCUGAAGAUCUCUGGCCGGAGUCCGGAUGUGGUGGUGGUGGGGGGUCUAGGGCAGCAUCCCAAACAGAGUGACAGGUGGCCAAGGACCGGAGGUUAGGAGCUGCCUCUCUACCGGAAGUCAGGCCCCUGAGCACUGGGUCAUCUGCUUCUGGGGUGGGGGCCCCAGCCUCCCUGUGUUCUCCUAUCUCAGUACCAAGUGGAGCCACAAAGAAGGAGCAACACAAGCAAGAAAAAUCAGACCGUGAAAGGUUUCAGAGAAUUUCUGAACAAUGUGGAAGAGGUUCAGGACUUGUUCUCCCUUCUGGAAAGGUAAAGAAUCUGCCCCCUUCUCCCCUGGGUGGGCCUUCCCGAGUCUAUGGUGUGACCCCUGGACUGCAGGGAACAGCCUCUGGGGCUGUUUGCGGGGUCUGGGAGGAGCCGUGGGGACAGACUGUGACCAAAGACCCGGGUGAGGGACAGAAGAAACAUUGUGAUGUGGGGGUUGUGCGUGGAGGGCUCUGGGUUCCACUCCCGGAUCCAACUGCUACAGUGGCAGCUCAUGCCUCCUGUCUC
Long non-coding RNA from Mustela erminea (ermine), 943 nucleotides. RefSeq lists it as uncharacterized. NCBI's taxonomy places the organism in Eukaryota, Metazoa, Chordata, Mammalia, Carnivora, Mustelidae. The transcript is spliced from 3 exons. The record is from RefSeq and is a predicted model, not a curated record.